GUCGAGAAUUUUUGACAAUGGGGGAAACCCUGAUCGAGCGACGCCGCGUGGAGGAUGAAGGUCUUCGGAUUGUAAACUCCUGUCAUUUGGGAACAAGGUGCACACGUUAACUGCGUGCGUAUUGAUAGUACCAGAAGAGGAAGAGACGGCUAACUCUGUGCCAGCAGCCGCGGUAAUACAGAGGUCUCAAGCGUUGUUCGGAUUCAUUGGGCGUAAAGGGUGCGUAGGCGGCGCGGUAAGUCGGGUGUGAAAUCUCGGAGCUUAACUCCGAAACUGCAUUCGAUACUGCCGUGCUUGAGGACUGGAGAGGAGACUGGAAUUUACGGUGUAGCGGUGAAAUGCGUAGAUAUCGUAAGGAAGACCAGUGGCGAAGGCGGGUCUCUGGACAGUUCCUGACGCUGAGGCACGAAGGUCAGGGGAGCAAACGGGAUUAGAAACCCUAGUAGUCC
This 449-nucleotide ribosomal RNA is filed under the name uncultured bacterium. RNAcentral describes it as "bacterial SSU rRNA". It matches the Rfam family "Bacterial small subunit ribosomal RNA", at positions 354 to 796 of the family's 1533-position model. The record is from RNAcentral.